RNAcentral lists this ribosomal RNA (930 nucleotides) under uncultured bacterium. RNAcentral's name for it is "bacterial SSU rRNA". It matches the Rfam family "Bacterial small subunit ribosomal RNA", at positions 557 to 1500 of the family's 1533-position model. The record is from RNAcentral.
GGUUUAAAGGGUGCGCAGGCGGAAUGAUUAGUCAGUGGUGAAAUCUACGGCUCAACUGUAGAACUGCCAUUGAUACUGUCAUUCUUGAGUAUAAUUGAUGUGGGCGGAAUGUGUCAUGUAGCGGUGAAAUGCUUAGAUAUGACACAGAACACCGAUCGCGAAGGCAGCUCACAAAGCUAUAACUGACGCUCAGGCACGAAAGCGUGGGGAUCAAACAGGAUUAGAUACCCUGGUAGUCCACGCCGUAAACGAUGAUUACUCGAUGUUGGCGAUACACUGUCAGCGUCUGAACGAAAGUAUUAAGUAAUCCACCUGGGGAGUACGGUCGCAAGACUGAAACUCAAAGGAAUUGACGGGGGCCCGCACAAGCGGAGGAGCAUGUGGUUUAAUUCGAUGAUACGCGAGGAACCUUACCUGGGCUAGAACGCCGGAUGACCGACUGUGAAAGCAGUCUUCCCCUCGGGGCAGCCGGCGAGGUGCUGCAUGGUUGUCGUCAGCUCGUGCCGUGAGGUGUCGGGUUAAGUCCCAUAACGAGCGCAACCCCUAUCUUUAGUUGCCAUCAGGUAAUGCUGGGGACUCUAAAGAAACUGCCUACGCAAGUAGUGAGGAAGGCGGGGAUGACGUCAAAUCAGCACGGCCCUUACGUCCAGGGCUACACACGUGCUACAAUGGCCGGUACAGAGGGAUGCUACCUGGUGACAGGAUGCUAAUCUCCAAAGCCGGUCUCAGUUCGGAUCGAAGUCUGCAACCCGACUUCGUGAAGUUGGAUUCGCUAGUAAUCGCGCAUCAGCCAUGGCGCGGUGAAUACGUUCCCGGGCCUUGUACACACCGCCCGUCAAGCCAUGGAAGCUUGGGGUACCUGAAGUCGAUAACCGAAAGGAGUCGCCUAGGGUAAAACAGGUAACUGGGGCUAAGUCGUAACAAGGUAGC